ACGAACGUUGGCGGCGUGCCUAAUACAUGCAAGUCGCGCGAGAAGCGGGGGGCAACUCCCGUGGUAAAGCGGCGAAAGGGUGAGUAAUACGUGGACAACCUGCCCUCGUGACCGGCAUAACCCAGGGAAACUUGGGCUAAUUCCGGAUGGCAUCCCGACGGCGCAUGCCGAUGGGAUUAAAGCGUGCCGAAAGGUACGUACUCGGGGAGGGAUUCACGGCCUAUCAGCUUGUUGGCGGGGUAACGGCCCACCAAGGCUUUGACGGGUAGCCGGACUGAGAGGUCGAACGGCCACAUGGGCACUGAGACACGGGCCCAACACCUACGGGUGGCAGCAGUAGGGAAUAUUGCGCAAUGGGCGAAAGCCUGACGCAGCGACGCCGCGUGCGGGACGAAGCUCUUCGGAGUGUAAACCGCUUUUCUGGGGUAUGAACACUGACCUAACCCCAGGAAUAAGCACCGGCAAACUCCGU
This 472-nucleotide ribosomal RNA is filed under the name uncultured bacterium. RNAcentral describes it as "bacterial SSU rRNA". It matches the Rfam family "Bacterial small subunit ribosomal RNA", at positions 29 to 506 of the family's 1533-position model. The record is from RNAcentral.